Molecule: ribosomal RNA, 502 nt
Filed under: uncultured bacterium
Lineage: Bacteria
Description: bacterial SSU rRNA
Rfam family: Bacterial small subunit ribosomal RNA
Source: RNAcentral
CUCAGGAUGAACGCUGGCGGCGUGCCUAACACAUGCAAGUCGAGCGGGGAAGCCGGAACAUGUAGAGAUAUAUGAGAAGGCAUCCUAGCGGCGGACGGGUGAGUAACACGUGAGGAACCUGCCUUACACAGGGGAAUAACACCGUGAAAACGGUGCUAAUACCGCAUAACACCGCACUAUGGCAUCAUAGAGCGGUCAAAGGAGAAAUCCGGUGUAAGAUGGCCUCGCGCCCGAUUAGUUAGUUGGUGGGGUAAUGGCCUACCAAGACUGCGAUCGGUAGCCGGACUGAGAGGUCGAACGGCCACAUUGGAACUGAGAGACGGUCCAGACUCCUACGGGAGGCAGCAGGUGGGGAAUAUUGGGCAAUGGGGGGAAAAACCCCUGACCCAGCAACGCCGCGUGAAGGAAGAAGGCCUUCGGGUUGUAAACUUCUUUGAUCAGGGAAGAAACAAAUGACGGUACCUGAAAAACAAGCCACGGCUAACUACGUGCCAGCAGCGGC